This 87-nucleotide transfer RNA is filed under the name Holosporaceae bacterium. RNAcentral's name for it is "tRNA-Leu". It matches the Rfam family "tRNA". Rfam says of the family: Transfer RNA (tRNA) molecules are approximately 80 nucleotides in length. Their secondary structure includes four short double-helical elements and three loops (D, anti-codon, and T loops). The record is from RNAcentral. Lineage: Bacteria; Pseudomonadati; Pseudomonadota; Alphaproteobacteria; Holosporales; Holosporaceae.
GCGGUCGUGGCGGAACAGGUAGACGCGUAGCGUUGAGGUCGCUAUGGAGGAGACUCCGUGGAAGUUCAAGUCUUCUCGACCGUACCA